Molecule: ribosomal RNA, 731 nt
Filed under: Vibrio fluvialis
Lineage: Bacteria; Pseudomonadati; Pseudomonadota; Gammaproteobacteria; Vibrionales; Vibrionaceae
Also listed under: 1 other name
Description: partial 23S ribosomal RNA
Rfam family: Bacterial large subunit ribosomal RNA
Source: RNAcentral
CCACCCUUGUAUGUUUGAUGUUCUAACUUAGCCCCGUUAUCCGGGGUGAGGACAGUGCCUGGUGGGUAGUUUGACUGGGGCGGUCUCCUCCCAAAGAGUAACGGAGGAGCACGAAGGUGGGCUAAUCACGGUUGGACAUCGUGAGGUUAGUGCAAUGGCAUAAGCCCGCUUAACUGCGAGAAUGACGGUUCGAGCAGGUGCGAAAGCAGGUCAUAGUGAUCCGGUGGUUCUGUAUGGAAGGGCCAUCGCUCAACGGAUAAAAGGUACUCCGGGGAUAACAGGCUGAUACCGCCCAAGAGUUCAUAUCGACGGCGGUGUUUGGCACCUCGAUGUCGGCUCAUCACAUCCUGGGGCUGAAGUCGGUCCCAAGGGUAUGGCUGUUCGCCAUUUAAAGUGGUACGCGAGCUGGGUUUAGAACGUCGUGAGACAGUUCGGUCCCUAUCUGCCGUGGGCGUUGGAAGAUUGAAGGGGGCUGCUCCUAGUACGAGAGGACCGGAGUGGACGAACCUCUGGUGUUCGGGUUGUGUCGCCAGACGCAUUGCCCGGUAGCUAAGUUCGGAAUCGAUAACCGCUGAAAGCAUCUAAGCGGGAAGCGAGCCCUGAGAUGAGUCUUCCCUGAUACUUUAAGUAUCCUAAAGGGUUGUUCGAGACUAGAACGUUGAUAGGCAGGGUGUGUAAGCGUUGUGAGGCGUUGAGCUAACCUGUACUAAUUGCCCGUGAGGCUUAACCAU